RNAcentral lists this transfer RNA (82 nucleotides) under Clostridium yunnanense. Its description in RNAcentral is "Clostridium sp. YIM B02505 tRNA-Leu". It matches the Rfam family "tRNA". Rfam says of the family: Transfer RNA (tRNA) molecules are approximately 80 nucleotides in length. Their secondary structure includes four short double-helical elements and three loops (D, anti-codon, and T loops). Further hydrogen bonds mediate the characteristic L-shaped molecular structure. tRNAs have two regions of fundamental functional importance: the anti-codon, which is responsible for specific mRNA codon recognition, and the 3' end, to which the tRNAs corresponding amino acid is attached (by aminoacyl-tRNA synthetases). tRNAs cope with the degeneracy of the genetic code in two manners: having more than one tRNA (with a specific anti-codon) for a particular amino acid; and 'wobble' base-pairing, i.e. permitting non-standard base-pairing at the 3rd anti-codon position. Lineage: Bacteria; Bacillati; Bacillota; Clostridia; Eubacteriales; Clostridiaceae. The record is from RNAcentral.
GCCGAUGUGGCGGAAUGGCAGACGCACUCGACUCAAAAUCGAGCGGGAAACCAUGAGGGUUCGAAUCCCUCCAUCGGCACCA